This 70-nucleotide transfer RNA is filed under the name Dipodomys ordii (Ord's kangaroo rat). It matches the Rfam family "tRNA". Rfam says of the family: Transfer RNA (tRNA) molecules are approximately 80 nucleotides in length. Lineage: Eukaryota; Metazoa; Chordata; Mammalia; Rodentia; Heteromyidae. The record is from Rfam by way of RNAcentral.
GGGAAGGUGGCUCAGUGGUAGAGCACUCGCCUUGCAUGCAUGAGGCCCUGGGUUCGAUUCCUCAGCCCCA